RNAcentral lists this long non-coding RNA (280 nucleotides) under Elaeis guineensis (African oil palm). Its description in RNAcentral is "long non-coding RNA (EGUI_LNC079210)". The record is from RNAcentral. Lineage: Eukaryota; Viridiplantae; Streptophyta; Magnoliopsida; Arecales; Arecaceae.
GACGGCAUCCCCGGCAAAGCCUAUCAAGGGCGUAGGGACCCUCUUGAGUUGGUCGGUUGACAGCCGCAUCCGGGAGAAGGUCGAGUAAAAUAAAACGUUUGUUGAACUUCCAUUAUCUACAAAAAUUCUCUUUACAUCAUAGUUUGCUAUUGUUGCCGAGACAACAACAGCGUCAUCGUGGGGAGUUUGGAUGCCCCGAACGUCUUCUUCCGUAAAAGUAAUCACGUCGUCCGGGCGCAGCUUUUUCGUCGGCUCCCCUCCUACCGACGUCCCCGGGCCG